This 548-nucleotide long non-coding RNA is filed under the name Meleagris gallopavo (turkey). RNAcentral's name for it is "lncRNA (ENSMGAG00000021931.1)". The record is from RNAcentral. Lineage: Eukaryota; Metazoa; Chordata; Aves; Galliformes; Phasianidae.
GUAUGUGACUGGAUUUGAUUUAGCACUUGGUCUUAAACCACAGUUCAGUUUUAAAGUGAGUCAUUAAUUGUGUUUUCUUCACAGUGACAGAGGAUCUCAGAUUGAAGUUGAUUUGACAAAUAUUGUGGGCAUUAUAUUUUUAUAGCACGAAACUUUACCCUGUUGUCACUUAAGUCAGGAGUAUCCAUUGAUUUUACUUGAAGAGUGGAAGCAGUCCUGUGGCCAACAGGCAUGAUAUCAUGGUGAAAUUCUAAGGAGACAUUCAUUGCCUCUCCUAGGAGAGAAGGAAGAAUUAAGUCCUAGAUGCAGUUGUACACAGUACUGGUAAAACAACAAAUCCUGUCAGGUAGAGAUAUGAAACUAAGAAGUGCUUUGUAGAUCUGCUGAAGACUUAAAAGUUGUUCUCAACACUGUUUCAACGGUAGCUUUCAGAAAAAAACUUUAGAUAGUAUUUGACAAACUGUAUCUUCUGAACAUUUUUGUCAUGGUCUCUCCCAGAAUUUGUUCUAAGUAAGCAAUUACCCUGGCAAAGUCCUGUCUUUGGAAGA